This 63-nucleotide transfer RNA is filed under the name Euterpnosia chibensis. RNAcentral describes it as "tRNA-Thr". The record is from RNAcentral. Lineage: Eukaryota; Metazoa; Arthropoda; Insecta; Hemiptera; Cicadidae.
GUUUUAAUAGUUUAGAAAAAAAUAUAGAUUUUGUAAAUCUAAGAUAAUUAUUAUUUUAAAACU